This 440-nucleotide ribosomal RNA is filed under the name uncultured bacterium. RNAcentral describes it as "partial 16S ribosomal RNA". It matches the Rfam family "Bacterial small subunit ribosomal RNA", at positions 338 to 795 of the family's 1533-position model. The record is from RNAcentral.
CCUACGGGAGGCAGCAGUGGGGAAUAUUGCACAAUGGGGGAAACCCUGAUGCAGCGACGCCGCGUGAGUGAAGAAGUAAUUCGGGAUGUAAAGCUCUAUCAGCAGGGAAGAAAAUGACGGUACCUGAGAAAGAAGCCCCGGCGAACUACGUGCCAGCAGCCGCGGUCAUACGAAGGGGGCAAGCUUUAUCCGGAUUUACUGUGUGUAACGGGAGCGUAGACGGCAGGGCCAGUCUGGAGUGAAAGGCGGGGGCUCAACCCACGGACUGCUCUGGCUACUGUACGGCUGGAGUGCAGGAGAGGUACGUGGAAUUCCUUGUGUAUCCGUGAAAUGCGUAGAUAUUAGGAGGAACACCAGUGGCGAAGGCGGCUUACUGGACUGUACCUGCCGUUGAGGCUCGAACGCGUGGGGAGCAAACAGGAUUAGAUACCCUGGUAGUC